RNAcentral lists this ribosomal RNA (118 nucleotides) under Pteropus alecto (black flying fox). Lineage: Eukaryota; Metazoa; Chordata; Mammalia; Chiroptera; Pteropodidae. The record is from RNAcentral.
AUCUAGGGCCAUGCCACCCUGAACAUGCCGAUCUCAUCUGAUUUUGUAAGCUAAGCAGGGUCAGGCCUGAUCAGUACUUGGAUGGGAGACCACUUAGGAAUAUCAGGUGUUGUAGGCA